Molecule: long non-coding RNA, 2870 nt
Filed under: Daucus carota (carrot)
Lineage: Eukaryota; Viridiplantae; Streptophyta; Magnoliopsida; Apiales; Apiaceae
Description: long non-coding RNA (DCAR_LNC004357)
Source: RNAcentral
AUACGGUAAGCAAGAAAAUAACAGCGUUGCAAAGAUGGCAAGGAAAGAGGGCAAAAUGAAUGUCAGCAGCAUCGAUGCCUUAGGUGAUGAUCUUCUCCGAAACGUGCUCAGGAGAUUACCUUCCUCUUCUUUCGCAUCUGCUGCCUGCGUUAGCCGCUAUUGGAAUCAUCUCUGUGACACUGUCCUCUGCACUCCCAAACUCUCCUCUGCUCACUCUANAUGUUAGUUGACUUUUAACGGAAGGAUCCGAAUCAGAAAAGUUUGAAAGUUUAAGGAUUGUAUUAUUACAAAAAAUAGGAUAUGGACCUAGAUAAUAAACAGCCUAUAGUUGAGGGACGUGAGAAUUUAUUAUCCCUAGUUUUAAUAACAUAUAUGUCAAAAAAAGGACCCACAAAUUAAUGAGCAAUUAUAUUUAUGAACUCGUAUUAGUUUAUUUUAUUAAAUAAUAAUAAAUUAAAUUAAAUAAUAUCAUGUAUAUCGUAAAAAAAAUAUAGGUUCUAGCAUUUACCCCUUCGGGGAAUAUUAAGAUAUUGGCGUCCGGAGCCCAUCCGACGUGAUCUACAAUACUCCAUCAUGUAUUCUGCCGGUUAUUCUCGUUGGGGGGCUUGAGGUGAUCACGAUUCUUGUUGAAGGCCCUCCGGGGUAGUAUGAAGAAUGACAUCAUAUCUUGAUCAUGUGUUGUGGUGGGUUAUCCUCAUUGGGGGAAAGAGAUGAUCAUAUGUCCCGGUAAUUUAGGAGGAGACUUUGCCUUACACUUUGGUAGGUUAUCCUCAUCGGGGGUAAGGACUUGUCCAUACACAUUAAGGAAUGAUCACGGCUACACCAUGCGCCUCCUUUCAAGAUACAAAAAGUAGCGGUUAGUGUUACCUCCAAUAAUUAAGGAUAAUGCUGAAUUCGUGACGUAUUUGGGAGCGAGGUAUUGUGUCUCAUGUCAAGGCCCUUGAUGGUGUGGGCUCUCCCUCUGAAUAUAUCGGAGCCGUCUUAGUAGAAGACUCGUCCAGGCCAUGGGCCACCGUCUUGACUAUGACUCAUCCAAGGAACCUUGUUCCUAAUCGACUUAGGUUUUUUGGCAUGGAAGAACUAUGUAUGGCUUGAACCCUAUUAUUACAGGGUACGUAGGCACAUUGAAGAGAUCGAAAGUUGAGAGCAAGGAAUCAACCUACAAUCCAUUUAAUCUCGGCCACCCAUAAACACACAAUCGCUAGACUCUGACAACAAAAUCACAGUCACAUAUCUUGAUUCCAGUCACAAACCUUAUCUUUGUUGAUUACCAAAUUUCACAAAACUCUCAAACACUAGAGAAGGAGAGGCGGCUAGGGUUUUUUGAUUUUUAUAAUAUUCACCCUUUAAUCUCAACCACCAUAAACACACAACCGCUAUACUCCGGCAACAAAACCACCGUCACAGAUCUUGAUUCUGCCCACGAACUUCGGGUCUGUUUGUUUAAGAGAAGCAGAAGCUGCUUCUCGGCUUCUGCUUCUCUUAACCCGUUUGAGUAAAGAAUUAGAAGCACUUUUAAGAAGCUGAGAAUGUUAGUUUCUCUCUCACAACUUCUGCUUCUUUUCCAAACACUUUAUUAACUUAUUUACUUCUAACUUCUGCUCCAAUUUUCUAGUUUAAGCAAGAAGUCACUUCUUUUAAGCUUGCCCAAACGGCCCCUUCAUCUUUGUUGAUUACCAAAUAGGCUGCUAGGUAUUUUGAUUUUUGUAAUAUUCACAUGAAUAUAAUUACUUGUUUUUUUCAUUUUUGUAAUAUUCACAUUAAUAUAAUUGUUACGAACCUCAUUUCUGUUGAUUACCAAAUAGGCUGCUAAUUUUUUCAAUUUUUGUAAUAUUCAUAUUAAUAUAAUUAAAAUUUCUCGUUUUAAUUCCAUUAAAUAAUAAAAUUUCUCAUUUAGGUCACACCUAAAUCGAGUCGUUGUGAGGAGGAGACAGCGGCACACGUGUGUGCCCGCACGAAGCACAUGAUAAUAUCUUGCACACCCACAUAACAGUGCACUAAACUUCAUGUGAUAUCUAUAAAACCACCAACCUAUCAUUAUCAAAUCGAUGUGGUAUUUGAGUUUUUUACAACUCAAACAGCCACAUAACUCAUUUCAGACUGGUCAUUUCAACUCAAUGUAUUAUGAAUUUCAUGAAGAAAAUGUCUAAUUCCAAACAUAAAAUUUAAGUCCUUAUACCAAUAAACAGCUUCCAAUUAUUAAUUUCUUAAAUUUUAUCAAGAACAUAUUGAAAGUAUGACUCAAAUUUUCAUUUUCUAACCAAACUUACUUUAAUACAGUUUAUUGUAGUGAAUUACUUAAACAUUUUGAAUAAGUGCGGUUGUCCUUUAGCAAAAGACACAUAAUCUGACGUCAGGUCAGGUAUUAAGAAGUGAACUAAACAGAAUAAUAAACAAUUAAAAAAAGAAAAUAAACAAUUACAUGAAAUAAACGGUAAUCUAUUUUUGCUAAAUGAAAUAAUAAGUUGUAAUCUAUUAGAUAAAUUAAGGAGUUAGCUGAUAGUCGGAGUGGCACUCGAGAGUCUAGAUUAGCAUUUUCCUUAAUUCUUGCAUGGAUGUAACAAGUCAUAUGAAUAUCAUUUUUGCAGGACGGAGGAAGUAAUUUCAAAUCGUAAUCGUUACUAUAAAAACGGAAAUACGGUAAGCAAGAAAAUAACAGCGUUGCAAAGAUGGCAAGGAAAGAGGGCAAAAUGAAUGUCAGCAGCAUCGAUGCCUUAGGUGAUGAUCUUCUCCGAAACGUGCUCAGGAGAUUACCUUCCUCUUCUUUCGCAUCUGCUGCCUGCGUUAGCCGCUAUUGGAAUCAUCUCUGUGACACUGUCCUCUGCACUCCCAAACUCUCCUCUGCUCACUCUAGCAAUCCUUCUCUCCAG